RNAcentral lists this ribosomal RNA (253 nucleotides) under uncultured bacterium. Its description in RNAcentral is "partial 16S ribosomal RNA". It matches the Rfam family "Bacterial small subunit ribosomal RNA", at positions 524 to 776 of the family's 1533-position model. The record is from RNAcentral.
UACGUAGGGGGCAAGCGUUGUCCGGAUUCAUUGGGCGUAAAGAGCGUGUAGGCGGCCAGGUAGGUCGGUUGUGAAAACUGGAGGCUCAACCUUCAGAGGUCGACCGAAACCAUCUGGCUAGAGUCCGGGAGAGGAGAGUGGAAUUCCUGGUGUAGCGGUGAAAUGCGCAGAUAUCAGGAAGAACACCCGUGGCGAAAGCGGCUCUCUGGACCGGUAUUGACGCUGAGGCGCGAAAGCCAGGGGAGCAAACGGG